AAGGGAGAGGAUAAGGUAGAAAUCUACCCUCGGGACGGGGAUAGCUGCGGGAAACUGCUGGUAAUACCCGAUAAUAUCUUUGGAUCAAAGGUGUGAUUCCGCCUGAGGAUGAGUCUACUUCCUAUUAGCUAGUUGGCAGGGUAAUGGCCUACCAAGGCAACGAUGGGUAGCGGGUGUGAGAGCAUGACCCGCCUCACUGGGACUGAGAACUGCCCAGACACCUACGGGUGGCUGCAGUCGAGAAUCUUCGGCAAUGGGCGCAAGCCUGACCGAGCGACGCCGCGUGCGGGAUGAAGGCCUUCGGGUUGUAAACCGCUGUCGUAGGGGAACAAAUGUAAGUGGGUUCUCCCAUUUACUUGAGUGAUCCUAGGAGGAAGGGGAGGCUAAGCUCGUGCCAGCAGCCGCGGUAAGACGAGCUCCCCGAACGUUAUUCGGUAUUACUGGGCUUAAAGAGUUCGUAGGCGGCCCGACAGGUGAGGUGUGAAAUCCCUCGGCUCAACCGAGGAACUGCGCUUCAAACCGUCAGGCUUGAGGGAGAUAGAGGUGAGCGGAACAGAUGGU
Molecule: ribosomal RNA, 561 nt
Filed under: uncultured bacterium
Lineage: Bacteria
Description: bacterial SSU rRNA
Rfam family: Bacterial small subunit ribosomal RNA
Source: RNAcentral